Molecule: ribosomal RNA, 406 nt
Filed under: uncultured bacterium
Lineage: Bacteria
Description: partial 16S ribosomal RNA
Rfam family: Bacterial small subunit ribosomal RNA
Source: RNAcentral
AUUGAACGCUGGCGGCAGGCCUAACACAUGCAAGUCGAACGAGUGGCGGACGGGUGAGUAAUGUCUGGGGAUCUGCCUGAUGGAGGGGGAUAACUACUGGACACGGUAGCUAAUACCGCAUACCAUCAGAUGAACCCAGAUGGGAGUAGCUUGUAGGUGGGGUAACGGCUCACCUAGGCGACGAUCCCUAGCUGGUCUGAGAGGAUGAUCGGCAACACUGGGACUGAGGCACGGCCCAGACUCCUACGGGAGGCAGCAGUGGGGAAUAUUGCACAAUGGGCGCAAGCCUGAUGCAGCCAUGCCGCGUGUAUGAAGAAGGCCUUCGGGUUGUAAAGUACUUUCAGCGGGGAGGCGUUACCGGCAGAAGAAGCACCGGCUAACUCCGUGCCAGCAGCCGCGGUAAUUC